Molecule: ribosomal RNA, 213 nt
Filed under: Coccolithus braarudii
Lineage: Eukaryota; Haptophyta; Coccolithales; Coccolithaceae
Description: partial Bacterial large subunit ribosomal RNA
Rfam family: Bacterial large subunit ribosomal RNA
Source: RNAcentral
GGAUGCCUUGGCAUCGAGAGGCGAUGAAGGACGUGAUACGCUGCGAAAAGCCGCGAGGAGCUGCGAAUGAGCUUUGAUCCGCGGAUAUCCGAAUGGGGAAACCCGGCCCUUUAGGGUCAUCGUUGUCUGAAUACAUAGGGCAACGAAGCAAACCCGGUGAACUGAAAUAUCUAAGUAGCCGGAGGAAAGGACAUCAACCGAGACUCCGUUAGU